This 491-nucleotide ribosomal RNA is filed under the name uncultured bacterium. RNAcentral's name for it is "partial 16S ribosomal RNA". It matches the Rfam family "Bacterial small subunit ribosomal RNA", at positions 28 to 507 of the family's 1533-position model. The record is from RNAcentral.
GAUGAACGCUGUCUACAGGCUUAACACAUGCAAGUCGAGGGGAAACGACGGGGAAGCUUGCUUCCCCGGGCGUCGACCGGCGCACGGGUGAGUAACGCGUAUCCAACCUGCCUCUGACUGAGGGAUAACCCGUCGAAAGUCGGCCUAAUACCUCAUGGCAUCGUCUGCGGGCAUCCAACGACGAUUAAAGAUUUCAUCGGUCAGGGAUGGGGAUGCGUCUGAUUAGCUUGUUGGCGGGGUAACGGCCCACCAAGGCUACGAUCAGUAGGGGUUCUGAGAGGAAGGUCCCCCACAUUGGAACUGAGACACGGUCCAAACUCCUACGGGAGGCAGCAGUGCGGAAUAUUGGUCAAUGGGCGGGAGCCUGAACCAGCCAAGUAGCGUGCAGGAUGACGGCCCUAUGGGUUGUAAACUGCUUUUAUGCGGGGAUAAAGUGAGGGACGUGUCCUUCAUUGCAGGUACCGCAUGAAUAAGGACCGGCUAAUUCCGUG